UAGUUGAUCAAGGAGUACCUUCCAGAGGAGGAGCUCGCAGACCUGAGGAAUGAGAAGGUCUGGGCACAGCCUGAGAUGGGAAUAAACUUGGUAUCUGCAAGGAAUGCAAAAGAGACCAGGGGCUGGAGCAUUGUGAAUGAGGGAGAGGGUUCUAGGAGGAAUGUUGGGCCCUCCCACAGGAGCUUUGUAGGUCAGGAAAGAAGAGUAGAUCUACUCUAGAAGUGAAAGCCAUAGGAGAGGUGAAAGCAAAAGAGUAAUGUCAUCUGUCUUUAAAAGUCUGCUCCAAUGACUGUGUGGGAAGAAGGACAAGAGAGCAAGUGGAGGGCCCAGAGAGGCCUAGCACUGGGCAUGUCCUGUCCCUCCAGGAAGAGUGAGGCGUGGCUUUGGCUUUUAGGAAAGUCUGUUUGAGUUGAUUCUCAAAGAAUAGUCCAGUCAGUCACGAGCGAGCGAGCAGGAGGGUGCAAGACUGCAGAAGCAGAGCAAUGCCGAAAUCAAAGGAACUUGUUUCUUCAAGCUCUUCUGGCAGUGAUUCAGACAGUGAAGUUGACAAAAGUUAAAGAGGAAAAAGCAAGUUGCUCCAGAAAAACCUGUGAAGAAGCAAAAGACUGGUGAAACUUCAAGAGCUCUGUCAUCUUCCAAACAGAGCAGCAGCAGCAGCAGAGAUGAUAACAUGUUUCAGAUUGGGAAAAUGAGGUACGUUAGUGUUCAGGACUUUAAAGGGAAAGUUCUUAUUGAUAUUAGAGAAUAUUGGAUGGAUCCAGAAGGUGAAAUGAAACCAGGAAGGAAAGCUAUUUCUUUAAAUCCGGAGCAGUGGAGCCAGCGGAAGGAACAGAUUUCUGACAUUGUGAUACAGUAAGAAAACUGUAAAAUCCGAGCCAUACAAAACCUGUACUGUUCUAGUUGUUUUAAUCUGUCUUUUUACAUUGGCUUUGUUUUCUAAAUGUGCUCCAAGCUAUUGUAUGUUUGGAUUGCAGAACAAUUUGUAAGAUGAAUACUUUUUUUAAAUGUGCAUUAUUAAAAAUGUUCAGAGUGAAACUAAUUGUCAACUUUAUUAAGGAGAAUUGCUUUGUGCCCACAACCCAUGUAAAAUAAUAAAAUGUAAAACUACAAAAAAAAAA
Molecule: RNA transcript, 1118 nt
Organism: Nycticebus coucang (slow loris)
Lineage: Eukaryota; Metazoa; Chordata; Mammalia; Primates; Lorisidae
Source: RefSeq, a predicted model, not a curated record